ACACGUGGGUAACCUGCCUUAUAGUGGGGGAUAGCCUUUCGAAAGGAAGAUUAAUACCGCAUAAGAUUGUAGUAUCGCAUGAUAUAGCAAUUAAAGGAGCAAUUCGCUAUAAGAUGGACCCGCGUCGCAUUAGCUAGUUGGUGAGGUAAUGGCUCACCAAGGCGACGAUGCGUAGCCGACCUGAGAGGGCGAUCGGCCACAUUGGGACUGAGACACGGCCCAGACUCCUACGGGAGGCAGCAUG
This 244-nucleotide ribosomal RNA is filed under the name uncultured bacterium. Its description in RNAcentral is "partial 16S ribosomal RNA". It matches the Rfam family "Bacterial small subunit ribosomal RNA", at positions 113 to 353 of the family's 1533-position model. The record is from RNAcentral.